RNAcentral lists this unclassified non-coding RNA (198 nucleotides) under fungal sp. RNAcentral's name for it is "partial internal transcribed spacer region". The stretch from base 1 to 46 matches the Rfam family "Eukaryotic small subunit ribosomal RNA", at positions 1786 to 1831 of the family's 1831-position model. Lineage: Eukaryota; Fungi. The record is from RNAcentral.
AAGUCGUAACAAGGUUUCCGUAGGUGAACCUGCGGAAGGAUCAUUAACACGUAUCCACGUAUCAAAACCCCUCUGUGCAAACCUCUUCGUACUCCAACUGACUGAUUAUGUCGUGUGAUAAAGCGCAAGCUUUUGACUCACUUCACUAAGAUUAUUCUAAUCUAAGCACAACUCUUAGCAACGGAUAUCUUGGUUCUC